UGGGGAAUUUUCCGCAAUGGGCGCAAGCCUGACGGAGCAACGCCGCGUGCGGGAGGAAUGCCUUUGGGUUGUAAACCGCUUUUCUCAGGGAAGAAUCACUGACGGUACCUGAGGAAUCAGCAUCGGCUAACUCCGUGCCAGCAGCCGCGGUAAUACGGAGGAUGCAAGCGUUAUCCGGAAUUAUUGGGCGUAAAGCGUCCGCAGGUGGUUGGUCAAGUCUGCUGUCAAAGCGUGCAGCUCAACUGCAUAUCGGCAGUGGAAACUGGUUAACUAGAGUUCGGUAGGGGUUGCGGGAAUUCCCAGUGUAGCGGUGAAAUGCGUAGAUAUUGGGAAGAACACCGGCGGCGAAAGCGCGCAACUGGGCCUGAACUGACACUGAGGGACGAAAGCGAGGGGAGCGAAAGGGAUUAGAUACCCCUGUAGUCC
RNAcentral lists this ribosomal RNA (426 nucleotides) under uncultured prokaryote. Its description in RNAcentral is "bacterial SSU rRNA". It matches the Rfam family "Bacterial small subunit ribosomal RNA", at positions 355 to 796 of the family's 1533-position model. The record is from RNAcentral.